GAUGAACGCUGGCGGCGUGCCUAAUACAUGCAAGUCGAGCGAGCAGACGAGGAGCUUGCUCCUCUGACGUUAGCGGCGGACGGGUGAGUAACACGUGGAUAACCUACCUAUAAGACUGGGAUAACUUCGGGAAACCGGAGCUAAUACCGGAUAAUAUAUUGAACCGCAUGGUUCAAUAGUGAAAGACGGUUUUGCUGUCACUUAUAGAUGGAUCCGCACCGCAUUAGCUAGUUGGUAAGGUAACGGCUUACCAAGGCAACGAUGCGUAGCCGACCUGAGAGGGUGAUCGGCCACACUGGAACUGAGACACGGUCCAGACUCCUACGGGAGGCAGCAGUAGGGAAUCUUCCGCAAUGGGCGAAAGCUUGACGGAGCAACGCCGCGUGAGUGAUGAAGGUCUUCGGAUCGUAAAACUCUGUUAUUAGGGAAGAACAAAUGUGUAAGUAACUAUGCACGUCUUGACGGUACCUAAUCAGAAAGCCACGGCUAACUACGUG
This 497-nucleotide ribosomal RNA is filed under the name uncultured bacterium. Its description in RNAcentral is "partial 16S ribosomal RNA". It matches the Rfam family "Bacterial small subunit ribosomal RNA", at positions 28 to 507 of the family's 1533-position model. The record is from RNAcentral.